GACGAACGCUGGCGGCGUGCCUAAUACAUGCAAGUAGGACGCACAGUUUAUACCGUAGCUUGCUACACCAUAGACUGUGAGUUGCGAACGGGUGAGUAACGCGUAGGUAACCUACCUAUUAGAGGGGGAUAACUAUUGGAAACGAUAGCUAAUACCGCAUAACAGUAUGUAACACAUGUUAGAUGCUUGAAAGAUGCAAUUGCAUCGCUAGUAGAUGGACCUGCGUUGUAUUAGCUAGUAGGUAGGGUAAAGGCCUACCUAGGCAACGAUACAUAGCCGACCUGAGAGGGUGAUCGGCCACAAUGGGACUGAGACACGGCCCAGACUCCUACGGGAGGCAGCAGUAGGGAAUCUUCGGCAAUGGGGGGAACCCUGACCGAGCAACGCCGCGUGAGUGAAGAAGGUUUUCGGAUCGUAAAGCUCUGUUGUUAAGGAAGAACGAGUGUGAGAAUGGAAAGUUCAUGCUGUGACGG
Molecule: ribosomal RNA, 473 nt
Filed under: Streptococcus anginosus
Lineage: Bacteria; Bacillati; Bacillota; Bacilli; Lactobacillales; Streptococcaceae
Description: bacterial SSU rRNA
Rfam family: Bacterial small subunit ribosomal RNA
Source: RNAcentral